Molecule: ribosomal RNA, 497 nt
Filed under: uncultured bacterium
Lineage: Bacteria
Description: partial 16S ribosomal RNA
Rfam family: Bacterial small subunit ribosomal RNA
Source: RNAcentral
GAUGAACGCUGGCGGCGUGCCUAAUACAUGCAAGUCGAGCGAACAGAUGAGGAUCUUGCUCCUCUGACGUUAGCGACGGACGGGUGAGUAACACGUGGAUAACCUACCUAUAAGACUUGGAUAACUUCGGGAAACCGGAGCUAAUACCGUAUAAUUUCUUGAACCGCUGGGUUGAGGAAAGAAUUACGGUUUUGCGGUCGCUUCUCGAUGUAUCCGCUCGGUGUUAGGUAGUUGGUAAGGUAAGGGCUUACCAAGGAAACGAUGCGUAGCCGACCUGGGCGGGUGAUCGGCCACACUGGAACUUGGACAGCGACCAGGCUACUGCGGGAGGGAGCAGUAGGGAAUCGUACGCAACAGUCGAAAGCAUUACGGAGCAACGGCGAGUGUGUGAUGACGGUCUUCGGAUCGUAAAGCUCUGCUUCUGGGGAUAAACAACUGUGUAUAUAAAUGUGCCGGUCUUGACGGUACCUACACAGAAAGCCACGGCUAACUACGUG